GCAUUGGUGGUUCAGUGGUAGAAUUCUUGCCUGCCAUGCGUGAGGCCCAGGUCUUUAACUCCCAAUGCA
This 69-nucleotide transfer RNA is filed under the name Callipepla squamata (scaled quail). It matches the Rfam family "tRNA". From Rfam's summary of the family: Transfer RNA (tRNA) molecules are approximately 80 nucleotides in length. Their secondary structure includes four short double-helical elements and three loops (D, anti-codon, and T loops). The record is from Rfam by way of RNAcentral. Lineage: Eukaryota; Metazoa; Chordata; Aves; Galliformes; Odontophoridae.